CUCCUACGGGAGGCAGCAGUGGGGAAUAUUGGGCAAUGGGCGCAACUGACCCAGCAACGCCGCGUGAAGGAAGAAGGCUUUCGGGUUGUAAACUUCUUUUAAGAGGGAAGAGUAGAAGACGGUACCUCUAGAAUAAGCCACGGCUAACUACGUGCCAGCAGCCGCGGUAAUACGUAGGUGGCAAGCGUUGUCCGGAUUUACUGGGUGUAAAGGGCGUGCAGCCGGGUCUGCAAGUCAGAUGUGAAAUCCAUGGGCUCAACCCAUAAAUUGCUUUCAAAACUGCUGGCCUUGAGUAGUGCAGAGGUAGGUGGAAUUCCCGGUGUAGCGGUGGAAUGCGUAGAUAUCGGGAGGAACACCAGUGGCGAAGGCGACCUACUGGGCACCAACUGACGCUGAGGCUCGAAAGCAUGGGUAGCAAACAGGAUUAGAUACCCUGGUAGUCCAUGCCGUAAACGAUGAUUACUAGGUGUUGGAGGAUUGACCCCUUCAGUGCCGCAGUUAACACAAUAAGUAAUCCACCUGGGGAGUACGACCGCAAGGUUGAAACUCAAAGGAAUUGACGGGGGCCCGCACAAGCAGUGGAGUAUGUGGUUUAAUUCGAAGCAACGCGAAGAACCUUACCAGGUCUUGACAUCCGAUGCAUAGUGCAGAGAUGCAUGAAGUCCUUCGGGACAUCGAGACAGGUGGUGCAUGGUUGUCGUCAGCUCGUGUCGUGAGAUGUUGGGUUAAGUCCCGCAACGAGCGCAACCCUUACUGUCAGUUACUACGCAAGAGGACUCUGGCAGGACUGCCGUUGACAAAACGGAGGAAGGUGGGGAUGACGUCAAAUCAUCAUGCCCUUUAUGACUUGGGCUACACACGUACUACAAUGGCGUUAAACAAAGAGAAGCAAGACCGCGAGGUGGAGCAAAACUCAGAAACAACGUCCCAGUUCGGACUGCAGGCUGCAACUCGCCUGCACGAAGUCGGAAUUGCUAGUAAUCGUGGAUCAGCAUGCCACGGUGAAUACGUUCCCGGGCCUUGUACACACCGC
RNAcentral lists this ribosomal RNA (1033 nucleotides) under uncultured bacterium. Its description in RNAcentral is "bacterial SSU rRNA". It matches the Rfam family "Bacterial small subunit ribosomal RNA", at positions 336 to 1393 of the family's 1533-position model. The record is from RNAcentral.